This is a non-coding RNA of Myotis lucifugus (little brown bat), 76 nucleotides long. NCBI's taxonomy places the organism in Eukaryota, Metazoa, Chordata, Mammalia, Chiroptera, Vespertilionidae. The record is from Rfam.
GGCAGUUCUCAGGUGACACACCCUGGAAUCGGACUCCCUCCUCUCUGGUUUCGGGGUGCAUCACCUGAGAACCGCC